This 84-nucleotide transfer RNA is filed under the name Echinostoma caproni. It matches the Rfam family "tRNA". Rfam says of the family: Transfer RNA (tRNA) molecules are approximately 80 nucleotides in length. Their secondary structure includes four short double-helical elements and three loops (D, anti-codon, and T loops). The record is from Rfam by way of RNAcentral. Lineage: Eukaryota; Metazoa; Platyhelminthes; Trematoda; Plagiorchiida; Echinostomatidae.
AGGCUUGUAGCUCAACUGGUAGAGCGCGCGCGGCAGAAAAGCGCCGGCUGCAUCCAUGCAUGGGUUCAAAUCCCACCGAGGCUA